GAAAUGCGAUAAGUAAUGUGAAUUGCAGAAUUCCGUGAAUCAUCGAAUCUUUGAACGCACAUUGCGCCCUCUGGUAUUCCGGGGGGCAUGCCUGUCCGGGCGUCAUUGCGAACCCCUCAAGCACGGCUUGUGUGAUGGGCCCUCCCGCGUCUUGGUCGUCAAGACGGGCCCGAAAUGCAGUGGCGGCUUCGCGGUUAUCCGAUCAGCCAGAGCGUAUGGGGACUUUCUCUCUGUCACACGCCCGCGGCGCGGACCGACGCCUGUCGACCUUUAUUCAUCUUUUUCUCGGUUGACCUCGGAUCAGGUAGGGAUACCCGCUGAACUUAAGC
RNAcentral lists this unclassified non-coding RNA (329 nucleotides) under plant metagenome. RNAcentral describes it as "partial contains 5.8S ribosomal RNA, internal transcribed spacer 2, and large subunit ribosomal RNA". The stretch from base 1 to 105 matches the Rfam family "5.8S ribosomal RNA", at positions 50 to 154 of the family's 154-position model. The record is from RNAcentral.